RNAcentral lists this ribosomal RNA (463 nucleotides) under uncultured bacterium. Its description in RNAcentral is "partial 16S ribosomal RNA". It matches the Rfam family "Bacterial small subunit ribosomal RNA", at positions 28 to 507 of the family's 1533-position model. The record is from RNAcentral.
GACGAACGCUGGCGGCGUGCUUAACACAUGCAAGUCGAACGGAAAGGCCUUUUCGGGGGUACUCGAGUGGCGAACGGGUGAGUAACACGUGGGUGAUCUGCCCUGCACUCUGGGAUAAGCCUGGGAAACUGGGUCUAAUACCGGAUAGGACCGCACUUUAGUGUGUGUGGUGGAAAGUUGUUUCGGUGUAGGAUGAGCCCGCGGCCUAUCAGCUUGUUGGUGGGGUAAUGGCCUACCAAGGCGGCGACGGGUAGCCGGACUGAGAGGUUGGUCGGCCACAUUGGGACUGAGGUACGGCCCAGACUCCUACGGGAGGCAGCAGUGGGGAAUAUUGCACAAUGGGCGCAAGCCUGAUGCAGCGACGCCGCGUGGGGGAUGACGGCCUUUGGGUUGUAAACUCCUUUCGCCAGGGACGAAGCGUUUUGUGACGGUACCUGGAGAAGAAGCACCGGCUAACUACGUG